Homo sapiens (human) is the source of this 825-nucleotide long non-coding RNA. RefSeq lists it as uncharacterized. The transcript is spliced from 4 exons. Lineage: Eukaryota; Metazoa; Chordata; Mammalia; Primates; Hominidae. The record is from RefSeq and is marked validated.
UUAAACUAUAACUAGCAAGAAAUGAGAAACUGAUUACAUCUGCUUAUUUGGACAGUGAAUGGAACCACAUAUUCUGCCUGUUGGCAAACACCAAAUCUGUAUAGUUUAUUUUCUUCAAAGGGAAUCAUGAUUGCCAACAAUCACUCAGCACCAACAAUUUACUGAAUGUUUAUCUGCCUGCAUUCUUCUUGUGGCUGGAAAUGUAGCAGUGAACCAGACCGAGACCCUGAUCCGCUGGGUAUAUAGCUGGGGGAGUCAGACAUUCAUGAAAAUGACUUCUAGUGCCACAGAUAUUUCAAAAGAUGCAGUAAAGAGUUCUGUGGGUCUGAAUGAUAUGGUGUGCUAACCAAAUAUGUGAAGGUGGCGAAGGUCUCCUAGAAGAAUUGGUGCAAAACUUGAGUCUCAAAGGAUGAGCUGGGUGAGGAGUUGGGCACAGUAUUCUGGGCAGUGGGAACAUCAUGGACAGAAGCCUGAAUGCAGCGGAGAGACUGACUCACUUGUGGGCAUGAAGGAGAUCAGCAUGACUGGAUUGGAGCUCACUUCCUGGUGUUUUCACCUCAUUGCAUCCCUGGUUGGUUUCUGUUGCUUGCAAUGAAAGAACCCUUACAAAUGCAAUAAUGCAGAAGUAACAAUGAAGAUGACACUGAUUCACACAAGAUUUAAUUUGUUACAUGAGUAAAUAAACAAAGCAAAAUGAACAGAAUUUACUAUACUGCAUCCCUGCUGGGAGUAUGUUGAGCUAUCUGGCCUGGAAGGCCUUUGUGACCUGUUGAAAGAAUAUACAUGGAUUUACUUCAGGAGAAAAAUAAAGUGUUAUUUUAAAAA